This 695-nucleotide long non-coding RNA is filed under the name Cyanistes caeruleus (blue tit). Its description in RNAcentral is "lncRNA (ENSCCEG00000009482.1)". Lineage: Eukaryota; Metazoa; Chordata; Aves; Passeriformes; Paridae. The record is from RNAcentral.
UAAUUUUCCAGCACACACAGAGCUCAAAAUGAAAACAGAAAAGUACUUUUCCUACCAGCAAUUUUUGAAGAAUAAAGAAAAGAAAAUUCUGUAGGAUGGGGAAGAAAGGAAUAUCCAAGGUGGUGUGUGAGCCACCCUGCAGAUCCACAUUCUACCUCCAGAAGGCCACUGGGAUGUCUCCUUACCAGCUGUGCAGACAACAAGAAGCACAGAAAGAAGGAUAUCACAGAAAACCAGAGCAGAAGUAUCCAUGGAAACAUGAGAUCUUAUUGAGAGUGUCAGGAGAAAUGUUUUGAAGAGCAGAUUUCCUCUGCACAGAAGACAAGAAAACCAAAUUCCAUCCCACCGGACAAAACAGUGUUUUGGAUAAGCCUGGAUAAUUUCAGAGAUGAAGAUGUCCCUCGUCCCUCAGGUACAGGUGGAGAUCACUGAGAACUACAGGCUGUGAAGUGGCUGCAGGGCUGAGCCCUGUGGGAUGGACCCCGGUCCUAAAGAGCUGAUGAGGGACACGGGAGGGAGCAGUGCCAGACUGGGCUGGGAAAAAACAAGCUGUGUCCUGCAAUCCCAGGUGCAGUCAUUCUUAAUGGCUGGGCUCUGGUGACUCUGACUUCAAAUGACUUUUUGAAAGCAAGUAAUUACUUCAUGGUCUGAAAUGAUGCACCUAAAUCCCGCUCCUGCCUUGAGGCUUAUUGAUA